Molecule: non-coding RNA, 2646 nt
Organism: Thunnus maccoyii (southern bluefin tuna)
Lineage: Eukaryota; Metazoa; Chordata; Actinopteri; Scombriformes; Scombridae
Source: the annotation of a RefSeq genome assembly
AAGAAAAACAUCAUAUGAUCUCAAAUUUGAACAGCGUCACUGAGUCAGUCUGGGCGCCAAAGUAAUUUACUUCACUGCAGCCGGUUUGGGAUUUAACAGCUCUUUGGUUCACUACAUUAUCUUCUUUUUUUUUUUUACUUUAAAGAAUUUUCUUCUUAAGAGUGUUCAUGUUCUUGUCUGCUUUUGCUCGGUGUAAAGUUGUCAGACGGUAUCAUAGAUGGACUUUCUGACCUCCUACAGCUUGCUAACUUCACCAGCUAACAUUUAACUGCAGAGUCCUCUGAAAUAAAGGACGUAACAAACUCGGAACAUUCAGAAAUGAGCACUGGAAGAUACGGGAGAACACAAAGUCGAAUGUUCAACAGAUAUUUUUUGCAGUGUGGACAGUGCACUUCUUGCAGCAUGGUGAGGAGUAACGUUAGCCGUCAGUCCGGAGCAGCAGUAGCAGGAGUCACUGACAUCAGCAGCUGAUCACUGAUGACAACUCCUGCUGAUGUCAGAGUCCAGUCUCUCCAUCAUCUCAGGUCUCACUGUGUAAGGAGAACCUGAACCUGAGAUCCUGUGUACGACUAAGUGGAUGCUGCUGAUGGAGACUGACUGACUUCACUACCACCCUGGCUGUCCUCUUCACAUCUUGCUAUAGUUCACAGUUGAAUAUCAGGAGGAAACAAUGACAUCGCUGGAGUCUGUUCAAAAGAUAUUGCUCAUCAACAUUUUUACAACACAUCCUAUUUCUUUUACAUUCAUUUUACUUGCAUUUUCCCUGUGAUUGUUAAGAUUGCUGUUAAGAUUAAGAUGAAAUAAAGAAAAUACAAACUACUUCAAAUAAUAAUUCAGAUGUUUUCUUAAAAAGGACCUGUAAACCUUCUGUAAAUGAAGACAACGUAAUGUCUAUAAAUCAUGUGGAAUCAUAAUAUGAAGGAGGGAUAAAACAGUUGUAGAUUUCUCUACAAAAUCACUAGAGGUCAGUGUCAAGUUUCUCUCUUUUACAAUAAGGAAACACUCAGAUCUGCUUUUCUCAUUAAUCUUAACUGACUGACACUUGAAACCUGCACUGAUUUAACGCCUGCUUGUCAUGUACAUGGUGUCAAAAUGUGCUUGAAACAAAAGUCAUUUCUGAAUUUGAAUGAGCCUAUUUUGAAUCAUAUAUUUUGACUCAAUAUGAUAUUUACCAUCAGCAGUGACUGCAGCUCAGUCUGUCAGUGUCAAUUCAUCAUCUCAACAGACAGGAAGUAAAUCUCAAGAUGAACAACAGAAAGCCUAAAGGAGCUGUUGUGUAUUUUUAUUAAAGCUGGAUGAACAAAAACUAUGUCCUCCUUCUCUCAUCCUCACUGAUAGACUCUGCACAGUCUCACAUUAUUAAUGUCCUCAGGUCAACUAAUUUACAAUUACACAACACAGUCAUCUGAGUACCACUGAUGUAGCUUUAAAAGUAAGAUUUCAUUACAAAAAAUAUAAUGUUAAUAUAAAUGAAAAAUCUGACUCUUCCAUCACAUACCGUAGCUUCAUUGAAACCAUUGCUGAGAGAAGACAGCAGUAAUCUAUAAAGUCCAAGUUUCUCUGUGUGUGUUUCUUCAAACAUCUGAAAACACUGAAACCAUUCAAUGUCUUUUAUGCAAACUCAACUUUUCAUGAUAUUUACAUGAUCCUGCUGCUGUUGUUGUAUUUCUGUAUGAAUGAAAUAGGUAAGAAAAGUCAACAAAUAAUGAAAUAAAUGUAAUGAAAUUAGAAUAUCACAUGUAAAGCAGAGGUGAUUUCCAGCUGUGUUUUCACUUUGCAGAUAUACAAUAAUAACAGUCAUCAGACUCUUCUAUUAGUCUCCAUUUAGACCAACAUUAAUGCUUCAUGUGUUUGAUUCUAUGCAAACUCAGUGAUCCUCCUUGUUUCUCAGAUAUAAAAACUUUACAUCAGACUGUCAGUGGAGAUCACAGCACAUCAGUUUCACCAUAAACCAUGUUCUCUGUAGCUCUGCUGCUGCUGUUGGCAGCUGGAUCCUGUGUGAAGUGUGAACAGUUGACACAGCCAGCCUCAGUGACUGUGCAGCCAGGUCAACGUCUGACCAUCACCUGUCAGGUCUCUUAUUCUGUUAGUGGCUAUUACACAGCCUGGAUCAGACAGCCUGCAGGGAAAGGACUGGAGUGGAUUGGAAUGAGAUAUACUGGAGGCUCUCACUACAAAGAUUCACUAAAGAACAAGUUCAGUAUCGACUUAGACUCUUCCAGCAACAGAGUGACUCUAAAUGGACAGAAUGUGCAGCCUGAAGACACUGCUGUGUAUUACUGUGCCAGAGACCCAAUGAUGGACUAUAGGACAGGACUGCUGCUUUUAACUAUCUGCUGGGCAGGUGUUGAUGGUCAGACUCUGACAGAAUCUGAACCAGCAGUUAAAAAGCCUGGAGAAUCCCACAAACUGACCUGUACAACAUCUGGAUUGUCAUUCAGUAGCUACUGGAUGGCCUGGAUCAGACAGGCUCCUGGAAAAGGACUGGAGUGGAUUGCAACUAUCAAUACUGGUGGUAGUAGCAAAUACUACUCUCAGUCAGUUCAAGGCCGCUUCACCAUCUCCAGAGACAACAGCAGAGAGCAGCUGUAUCUGCAGAUGAACAGUCUGAAGACUGAAGAUUCUGCUGUUUAUUAUUGUGCUCGA